AAGUUGAUUGGUCAAAGCAGUAUCAUUAACGAUUGAUUCUGAUUGAUAAUGCUAUGUGCCAUGACCAACGUUGUCAAAACGCAUGGCCUAUGUUCAUAACAAAAGGAUCCGCCACCGAUCUUCUGAAAAAGGAAACAAAGUGCUAAAGCGAUGAAAGACGAAGUCGAAGGCAAAUUUGCUUCAAAUCGGCAAAGCUUAUUGGGUGUUCAAAGGAGAGAUGGAAGGACAGACAUUCCCUCAACCUAUCAAUUCAGACAUGUGUAAGAUGUUUUUUAUUUGAUUAUGCAAAGUUUCUUUUAGGAAAUCAUGCAAGAGACGAGACAAAAGUCAGGCCAUCUUCCUUUCCAAUCAAAACAUUUCAUCCCUAGUCAUCCCUUUUGAACUAUUAGAACAAUAAUUUUCGUUUGGCAGCCCCUGAGAAUUGCAAACCCCACACUGGGGCAAAUUCAUUUUGAAAAGUGAUCAGAAAGAAAAGAAAAACUCCACACUGGGGCAAAUUUAUCUUUGAAAGAGAUAUGGGAAAAAAGAAAGAACCCUACACUGGGGCAAAUUUAUUUUUGAAAGGAAAAUGAAAAGGAAGAAAGAACCCCACACUGGGGCAAAUUUAGUUUUUGAAAGGAAAAUGCAAAGAGUGAGAAAAAUGCAAUGAAGAAAAUGCAAAGAAAGAGAAAAUCCAAUCAAACUGGGGCAAGUUUCCUCGGUUUCGUUCAAAAUUAGAGAUAAUUUCAAAAUGAUGUAAUCUCAGGUUAUUUCGCACCUCCCUCAUCAAAAUUUGUUUUCAAGCCUCAACUUUUCUUGAAAAACACCCCACCUGACCUCAUUACAAAAGCCCAAAGUCCUGGCUUUCGUCACUUGUUGCAUUUCUAUUAGGGAUUUUGCUAAUCAACUGGCAGGUGAUGUCCAUAAUGCCUUCGUUUAAGUUUAUAAGGGAAGCGCAUUUUACUGAUGCCAGCAAUCUUCAACUUACAUUCCUGAGUCGACUAUGGUUGAGCUUUUCCAUUGUUUCCUUAAGUGAAAAUCCACAAGGGCACCUCAAGAGAAAGGAAAUAAGAAAGAAGGAAAAGAAAGAAAAAGAAAAAAAGGAAAAGAAAAGAAAAAACCAACAAAAAGGGUGGGGGACAACCUUGGUGAAAACUCGAAUGGGCGCUAAGGUAGGUUUCUGCAAUGAGAAAGCACAAAGAGGAACAACUGGUGGUUUGGUCCAUUUAGAUUUCUCCUCAUUUUUGUCAUACCUCUGGCAACAUUGAAUUCCGGAACUAAGAUAUCCAAAGACUUGAAUAUGACAUCCGUUGGCCAAAGCUGUGUCAUUUUGAAAAAACAUUCUUUUGCACAUACAUUCUUAGGAAACUCAUUUUUUCCCAAAUUACUUGUAUUCAUGACAUUUUUGUAGAAUUUAAGCACACAUGGUUGUGUGUGCAUUCUUGUGCAUAUUCAUUUUUACAUGACAUGUGAAUUUUCUUGCAUACCUCAUUUUUUUUAUCGUUGAAUUGUGAUAAAUGACAAUCCCUGUGAUUUAUUUCAAAAAGUAUACUUGGAUUCAGUCAUCCUUUGGAAACAGUUGAAAUCCAGCCAAGCCAGCUACACAAACUUCAUAAUAUGGCAAAGCAUAUACCUGGUCAGUUUGAAAAUCGGAAAAGCCUUAGGGCGAGAAAUCCAACUCAAUCGGCUGUCGCAGCAAAAGUUGAUAAAGGCGUCGAGAGACUCAUGUUUACACGAUUCUCAAAGGAAAACGGGGCAAAUGAUGGUGGCAAUUUCUUUUGUUUUUUCUCAUUUGCAGAAAAUUGCAGGCACAGAUGAAAGUAAUCACACUUCGCACCGAAAUCGAUGUCGGAAAGAGUCCUCCGGUGAACAAAGGCAGAUCGAAAAUGUUGCAAGCAAAUUUGAUCAAAAGGUGCAACAGCAUGGCGAUACAAAGUCAACUUUGGACUCAAAUUGCAAAAAUUCACCAUACUGGGGCAAAUUAAUUUUUUGGAAAGAUUCUCAAAAGUCAAAAGAAAAGCGAAAAGAAAAGAAAAUCAUCAAUCAAAAAACAAAUCAAGUUUCAUCACGACAGGCUUGGGUUUAAUCCCACUGUCUGAUGGUCAAGGUUUUCAUUUUCAGUACUACUGGAGCUGGGUUUGUCCCGCCAGUAAGCAUUUCAUUUUCAUCACCGCUAGCCGUUGGGUUUGUCCCACUAGUGUGCCUUUUAAUUGCAUUUGCCACCAGCCGUUGGGUUUGUCCCACUGGUGAGCCUUUCAUUUUCAUCGCCACCAGCCGUUGGGUUUGUCCCACUGGUGAGCCUUUCAUUUUCGUCGCCGCUAGCCGUUGGGUUUGUCUCACUAGUGUGCCUUUUAAUUGCAUUUCCCACCAGCCGUUGGGUUUGUCCCACUGGUGAGCCUUUCAUUUUCAUUGCCACCAGCCGUUGGGUUUGUCCCACUGGUGAGCCUUUCAUUUUCGUCGCCGCUAGCCGUUGGGUUUGUCCCACUAGUGUGCCUCUUAAUUGCAUUUCCCACCAGCCGUUGGGUUUGUCCCACUGGUGAGCCUUUCAUUUUCAUCGACUAGCACCAGCCGUUGGGUUUGUCCCACUGGUGAGCCUUUCAUUUUCAUCGCCGCUAGCCGUUGGGUUUGUCCCACUAGUGUGCCUUUUGUUUGCAUUUGCCACCAGCCGUUGGGUUUGUCCCACUGGUGAGCCUUUCAUUUUCAUCGCCGCUAGCCGUUGGGUUUGUCCCACUAGUGUGCCCUUUAAUUGCAUUUAUCACCAGCCGUUGGGUUUGUCCCGCACGGUGUAGUCUUUUGCAUUUUCAUUCGCCGCUAGCCGUUGGGUUUGUCGCCACUGGUGAGCCCUUUUUAUUUUCAUCGCUAGGCACCAGCCGUUGGGUUUGUCCCACUGGUGAGUCUUUCAUUUUCAUCGCCGCUAGCCGUUGGGUUUGUCCCACUAGUGUGCCCUUUAAUUGCAUUUAUCACCAGCCGUUGGGUUUGUCCCACUGGUGAGUCUUUCAUUUUCAUCGCCGCUAGCCGUUGGGUUUGUCCCACAAGUGUGCCUUUUAAUUGCAUUUAUCACCAGCCGUUGGGUUUGUCCCACUGGUGAGCCUUUCAUUUUCAUCGCCGCUAGCCGUUGGGUUUGUCCCACUAGUGUGCCUUUUGUUUGCAUUUGCCACCAGCCGUUGGGUUUGUCCCACUGGUGAGCCUUUCAUUUUCAUCGCCGCUAGCCGUUGGGUUUGUUCCACUAGUGUGCCUUUCAUCUGCAUUCGCCGCUAGCCGUGGGUCAGUCCCACUAGUGCGCAUUUCAUUUUGUUCAGCCAUUAGCCGUGGGUCAGUCCCACUAGUGCGCACUUCCUUUUGUUUAACCACUAGCCAUGGGCCAGUCCCACUAGUGCGUAUUUCAUUUUGUUCAGCCACAGAGAUCAAAUGUCCCUCUUGGUACAAAAUUUGAACUACCCCGAGGUAAAAACUCAAUUUAUUGUUUAAACCUUCCCAGGGCAGUCCCGUUUAAAUUCUUGUUCGGGUCAGUCCCGUUUUAUUUUUCUUGUUCGGGUCAGUCCCGUUUAAAUUCUGUUCGGGUCAGUCCCGUUUAAAUUCUUGUUCAGGUCAGUCCCGCUUUAAAUUUCUUGUCUCAGUCAAUUCCUUGUUAAAAUUUUCUUUCAAAAGAGGUCAGUCCUCAUUUUCAAAAAUGGCAGUCGUUCGAGUCGUUCGUGACCGAAUGACACAGGUAAGUGUUUGGUGUCUACUUCUUUGUCUCAAGUUUUUCCAAAACUCAGACAAAGAGGGGCAAACUGUAGACACCAAAUUUUGGUACGAUUUAUUUAUUUUUGUUCAUGCUAGUUUUUCGUAGUUAUUCUUUUUGUUUUCUUUAGUCGUUUACUUGUUUUAUUUUACUUGUUUUUUUAUUUUUAGUCUUUUUAAUGUAGAAUUUCUCAAAAAAAAGAAAAUAUGUUUUAGUUGUUUUAAAAUUCAAUUUUUGUCUUGGAAAAAGAAAAAAAGGAAAGGGAAGAAAAUUGUUCACAAAAUAUGUUUAUUUCUUUUAAAAUUCAAUCUUUUGACUUUAUUUAUUUUUUGGUUAGGUUAUUUCGAAAACAAAAGAAAAGUGAAAAAAUGAAAAUGAAAAAAAAAAGAAAAAGAAAAAAUAGCAAUUUUUGUUUUAGUUGAUUUUAUUUAGUUUGUUUUAGUCAGUUUUAAUCAAUUUAUUUUUGUUUAUUGUUUGGUUGGUUUAGAAACGGAAAAAUGAAAAAAAAAGAAAGAAAGAGUGGAAAAUGAUGAAAAAAAAGGAAGGAAAAAUAGACAAUUUGCAUUUUUGGUGUUUCUUGUUUAUUUAUUUUUCAUUUCAAAUGUUAAUUAAUUGGUUUGUUAAUUUGUUUUUGUUAUUUAUUAUUAUCAUUUUAGUCUUAUUCAAAAAAAAAAAAAAAAAAUGGUCGCGCAUGCAAGCUGCAUAUUUUGCAGCUUGCAAGGACAGUCUCGCAUGUCCCAUUUGAUGGCUGGAUUUUAAUGUGGAUUAAGCCAUUCAUCCUCACCUUUGAGGUGAGGGUUUGGGUCUGAUAUAAAGAGAAAAAGAAACCACAGCCGCGGGGGGGAGAGUUUUUGGGUUUAACGGAAAAAGCAUACGGCAAAAGGAAGUGGACGGCUAGAGGGGUUUUGAGAGAGUCAUCGGUAAAGGAGAGACAAGGGGGUAACAACGGGGUUUUAGAGAAAAGAAAGCAGCUUUGAGGAAGAUUAAAACAGAAAGGAAGGUUCACCGGUGGUUAGGAUUAGAGAGUGAAAGAGAGGGAACUGAGCAAACGAACGGAACUGAGGAAGAAGAAGCCCACGGCUCUCUUCAGUUUUCCAUCAUCAUCGAAAGGCCAAGUUGCCCGCUGAAGAUCUUUCCAAGCUGCCUCCUUUUGCUGCUCAGGUAUAUGAACGUUUACUUCCUCUUUUAAAAUCUGUUUGAUGUUAACGUUGUAUCCUUGCCAUGUUUGGGUUCGGAAUUUUUGAUUUGGCAGAGUGCAAUGGGUAGAACAUCGUGGGCUUGUGGUUUGUAGCUUAAAGCUGUUGUUUUUUGAUGUUUUUUUUUGGCAUGUUGGGCAUGGUAAGGUCUGAUUUUGGUUGGGCGUUAGAUUAUAUUUCAUCCCUAGACUGCAUUUUAGUAGCAAGAUCAUACCUUUGAAAAGAAAAGGCAUUUAUAUGGCAUGGCCCAUUUCCAUUUUGAAUCUGUUUUGUUUCGUUGGAUGUGGGAGUCUUGUUCUGGUUUUAUUGCUGCAAGUGUCAUCCUUUCUUUUGCUGCAUUUCUACCUAAUCAUUUUGGUUUAGAGUGUUUGUUAAUUACCUGGGUUAAGAGCUAGUAGCUGGUUGAGAGGUUUGAUUAAGUUGGGUGUUUGAAUCUGGAAUUUAUAUGUAAAAAGAGAAGUAGCAGCAGAAUUUUUCCAGAUUUACAUGUUCCCAUGCUAAGUUGUUCUUUUCUUUCUUGGUUCGUUUGAAUGUUGAAAUGUUGUGUCACGAUGCUUGGAUGGGUUUUUGUGUGUUUGAGUCAAAGUCAGAAAUACAUGAAUCAUGCUUGAAUAAUUGCUAAAAAUAAAUCUCCAAGUUGCUGACCCAUGUUUCACAUGUUUUUCCCAGAAUUUUGUAUGAUCUAUUCCUAAGUCUUUUGCUUGUUUUUGAUGGUGGUGAUUAUAUGUUUUGCUUAGUCUACAGUUGUGGGUUUGAUUUUGAAAAUAUAUAAUCCGAGUGGGAUUAAGAAAUGGGCUUUUGGAAAUAGAGAGUGCAGCAAGUGUGUCUUGAUUGUAACUAAUCUGUCCGUGGUUCUGCAUGGAGUGUUUCCAACUUUUGUAAGAUUUCUUCCCAUGGUUUUGGCUUAUUUGGAUGUUGAGCUUGAUGAUGAUUGUUGUUAAAGUCAAAAUGGUAAUGUUUGUUUAAGGGUAGCCGUGUUUAGAUAGGAAGGUUGCAUUGAAAAAUCUCUAAAAGCUGCAUUUUAUUCACUGUUUCAUCGAAGCAGCCCACAAAGUUAAGCUUUCUCUUGUAUGUUUAGAUGCUAAGCUCUAAUGGAAUUUUGUUUAGAUCAAGUUUUGGAUGUGAGAAUGGUUUGUUUUGUUGCUCAUUGUAAGCUGAAAUCUAAAUGAAAGUUUGGGAUGAAUUCUGGAAUCUUUAUUGGAAUUGGAAUUGCAGCAAGCUUCAUUUUCUGCCGCAAGUCUCUUUCUUUUUUCUUGUCAUUGGUGCCGCAAUUUUUGUCCUGCAGCAGCUCUUGAAUUUGGUUUUAGAUAUCCUUUGCUUGUUUCAUUUGGGUGUUGAAGGGAUGAGAAGGAAGGUUUGGUGUUGAUGUUUGUGUGUUUGUUUAAGGAAACAUGUCCAAACAUUGCUGGAAAAUGUACAUCAGCCUGCCGAACUUUGUGUUUCACAGUCCUAGUUUUUUUUUUUUUGUUUGUUUAAUUUUUUUUUUUUGUUCCAAACUGGUAUUCUAUCUAGAUAACAACUUCAUCAUGUUUCUUCUUGGCUUACUUGCAUGAAUGUGUCCCAGCUAAGUGAAACAAAAAGAAGCUGCAUUUCACUCGUAUGUCUUUUGAUGUUUUUAUUGUUUCCUUGUUCACGCAAACAGCUCAUAAAGUUGUGUUUUGAUCACCUUGUUUGCAUACUCCAUCUUGUGUCAAUGGAGGUUAUAGGAGAAUGGAUGCAGCGUGAGCUUUGCUCAGGUUUUUGCCAUAUUGCUGGUUUGUUAAAAAGAAAAGAAGGCAACUUCGGCUUGUCUAAAUUUUUAUUGCAGCAAUGCUGCAAGAGCUUGUAGUCGACAUGGAAUGUUUCUUUUCAUCUUUUUUGAUGUUGGUUUUGUUGUUCAUGAUUAGAAGAAUCUGUGGAAUGGCCUUGUUGCUUGAAUCUGUUGUCGGGAGUUUAAGGAAGCAAUUUGAUAAGCUGCAAAUUUUGCAGCAAAGGAAAGCAUUGCAGAAAACUGAAAUUCACGUAUGCAUGCAUGAAAAGCCAAAGAAAAAUUGUCUUUUAACCCUUCAAGUUCCUCCUUGUUCUGCAAAAGCCCAAUUACAUUCCCAAUUCUUGCAAUUAAGUCCUAGGAUAGUUGCAAUUGGAUCCAUUGUUUGACUUUUCCUUCGCCCUUGGACCCCCGAAGCUUUUAAAAAAUGUUCCAUUAGGCUUAAGUGCUUGAUUAAUGUUCGCAAUGGAAUCUUUGGUAGCAUCAAUUUCUCAACUCAAUUGCUUGUUUGUUUUCACUAAUUAUCAUGUUUUUUUGUUUGAGAGGUACUUAAUGCAUGAAUUUGUGAGCUUUGUGUCUAAAUGAGUUGGUGUUUGCCUAUCUUCUUUAAUUUCCCUAAAAUAAAUGGGUUAUUUUGACCUUUUUCUUGCUUUUAGACUUUUAAAGUUCUUAAAAUGUGUCAUUUGGAUUUGAAUGAUCGAUUAAAGGUCGUUUUUGAGUUUUAGUAGUUGCUAUAUUUGGGAAUUUGAUGAGCUUGUUCCACUUUUCCUUGGCCAUUAUGCAUUAUUUGAAUUUUAAUUGCAAUUGAGCAAUAAUUUGAUGUUUUUGGUGAAAUCAAAUUGGUUUAUAUGUUUAUUCUAUCAUUGGUGCAUUAAUCUUUUCUUUUGAUGGUUUUAGCCCGUUUUAAGUCUCGUCCAUUUAACACUACAAGAGGGAGCGGUAUAAUUCCUUUUAUCUUUUUUUGUUUCUCUUAUGUGACUCAACGUGCUAAGUGAAUUGCAUGUAUACUUUGCUUUCCUAGCUUUUCUUUAAUUCCUUUUACUUAUGUCAUUUACUUUUUUGUUUUCAUUAAGUUAUUCUUUUAAUGGGGUAUGUGUACACCUCUUGGCUUGUAAUAGAUAGGGCGUAGCAAGUAAUUUGGUCCAUUUCCCCUUUCCCCUUUGUUUUAGUUAGCAAAUGUAAUGGUUGCAUGCCUACGUGUUAAGUGUUUAAUCGCUUUAUUAGGCCCUUGCAUCUAGUCAAGCAUGCUAAGUGUUAUGUGCUACGUGUUUAUAAGUGAUUCGCAUGUCUACUCGCUUUUUAUAGUGUGGAUGAAUGGAAUGAAUGAAUGUACGUCACCACACUAGUCCAACGCUAGUUGUGGCUUCUUUUAUCGUUUCCACUAGUCCAACGCUAGUCGGAAUUCAUAGAAUGGGCUAGUCCAAUGCUAGACCCAAUAGGUUCUUUUUUCCCUUUUUCAUUAAGUGCAUGAUCACCACAUAUCACGCAUUUUUCCUUAGUUUAUCAUUUGGUAUGUUCCUCAAACCCCUUCCCCUUCACUUUAGGACUUGCAUCUCAUGCUAGUUAGGGUUCAUUUGCGUGAAAAUCCCCUUCCGAUAAGGGAAACGAGCGAGUGUGGCUACUCGAUAGCCUUAGCACGCUAGUUUCGCCUUCUAAUCCGAGGGAAAAUCAAAGUCGAAGAAUUAGGCGUCAUUCCCGUACCCGACUUGUUGCAUUCCCCUAGGGUCAUACUUUCAUUUUUAUCACUUCCAUACUCUUUUAAUCACAUUUCUCUUACAUUUCUCAAUCCAUAUUUUUUCACUACAUCUUUAUCAUUUAUUUACUUUACUUCACAAAUGAAAUUCAAGUUUCACUUAUUUAUGUACUAUUCUAUCUUCAUUCAUUUGCACACACUAAUACUUUGAUUUUUCAUCCAAAUUCACACGUGCACUUUCUUUACACACUCACACACUAAUACUUUGAUUUUUCAUCCAAAUUCACACGUGAACUUUCUCGUCACAUGCGCACACAAACACUUUGUUUUUUUACACCAUUUCAUACAUGAAUCCUUUCAUACACUUGCACACUUGCACUUGAGUCACCAUUUGCAUCAAUCGACCUCUAUGAGGUUUCCCUUUAUUGGCCGCCACAAUUCAUGUGGUCUGGGACCAAAAACCUCACGAGAGACAUCGUAGAAUUUAGGAUUGCAUCCUUUCCGUUUUGCAUUCAUAUAGGCAUAAUCCAACGUGCGAUACAUACAUUGGGUAGAAGAUUAGGAAAGGUAAGGUUAAGUCACGCAACUAGCCUUGGUUAGGUCAAAGGGGUGCCUUGGAGUCUAUCCUUGCCUUCCCCUUUGUCAAACGUGACUCCCGAACCUUUUUCUUUGUUUUACGUAGACUAGGAGUCAUUUUAAAAAGGGUUUAUUACUACUUGACUUUAAAACUCAUUUUUAGAUGACUUGGUACACCUUAAAUCAUUACCAAGUGGCGACUCCAAACUUUUCAUUUCAAAACCCUUUUUAAAACUAUUUUUUGGGUCAAAUCGUCGCUUUCCAAGUCCCAUUGAGACCCAUAUCUUUUUCAACUCACAAAAACCAUUUUUUAAUCAAAAUUGAAUCAAAAACAUCUUUCUCAAACCAUUUAUCUUUCUUAUCUAACAUAUUUAUUUUUCUUAUCAAAAAAUGGGGCGCGACAGUUGGCGACUCCACUGGGGACAUUCGAGAGUCCGAGCAAAUUUGAUUUAAUCAAUCUUUUUCUUCUUUUAAACCUUUUUAUUUAUCACAUUGGAUGUUUAGGGUUGCAUUUUUCCUUUUCUAGGAUUUUUGCAUUUCGCAUAUCAAUUCACUUCCUCACACGUUCGCCUACUAUUGUUUUGAUGAAUGGAUGUUUAUAUGUGAUUCCGCGCUUUGCAUUGCAUUUGGGAGGGGAUUCUACCUUAGAGCCUUGCGUGCGUUCUUGAUCCCUUCCCUCCAAAACGUGCACUAUCAUACGCGCAUACGCUUUACUAUUCAUCCCCCUUUAUUUUUCUUUUUAGUGGCUUGUCACGCCACUCCACCCUAUUAGGAUUAGGAGACCCACUUGGACGUGUGAUCGUGACACGACGUGUGCGUAGCACGAUCCAAUGGGUCACUCACUCUUCCGCUUUAAACUUUGGGUUAAUAUCCUUAGUUUUUAGUCGAAGGUUGAGGUUUUUUAUAGAUUCACUCAAACAUGCGGCCGUGACACGACGUGUGCGUAGCGGUGUUUGGGGAAUCGCUCGAGCCACCGACAAAGGGCCAUGGAAUUGAUGACCCUUGGCCCUAAGUCUGAAGGCUUGGGGACCUGAGCUUAUCGAGUUAGAUGCAUUAGUGAACCCCAACCUCAUGCAUCCAUAUAGUUCACCUAGGGUAGAGUCUGCCUAACCCUAUUAGGGACACCAUUCACGAGGGGAGGGAUCCCAUCCUUUUCCUCAUUUACUUUUCCUGUUUUUUAUCAUUUAAUUGUCCAACGUGUUAUGUGAUUAAAUGUGGGACUAACUUUCCUUGUUUCUUGUUCAACCCUAGCAAAUAAGAGGUCUGGCAUGACCUUCUUUUAAGAAGCCUACCCGUGUAGAUAGGACAUGGCACGUUUAAGAAGUUUUGUAUAUUUUUGUGCAUAAAUAAUAAUGUCAUGUCAUUUUGGGCCUACCCUGGCAAAUCAAGGGUCCUUUAGGUCAUAUUGCAUAUUUUACUGGCUUAAUAAAUGGCAUCAUGCAUAAGCCCUAGAAAGGGAAUGCCAUUUAGGCGAUCCCGUGCUAGGAAUAAACCACCUUGUGUCUCGGAUACUUAAUCCAAAGGGACUUGCACGUUUACAUUUUGUACCAUCCAAAGGGGUAGUGCACAAGGUAAGGUAGGAUCCAAUCAUCUUCAUAAGAGCGAUUUUUGGAAUAUGAGUAUCUAAUAAUCACUUUUUGGCCAUUUUUAUCAAAAUUGGUAAAAAUCCCUUGUGUAAAAGGACAUUAAUUUGAAGAAAAUUCACGAAUGAUUCCUCCUAUUGAGAUGAUAAAUCAGUUGAGGCCAAAAUUUGAUUUUAGAAGGCUCAUAGGCUAAUGCAUCGUAAUAAGGUUUUUUGAGACUACCAGUGGAUGGCUUGAUUUUUAAUAAGCUCCUAAUUCUAUCAAAUCCAUUGGACCAUUUCAUUCAUCAAUUUCAUCCAGUCUAUUUUUAUCAAUUGGCCUUCAAUUCAUUUGACCAAUUUACCCUUUUUAGGGUCAUCCGGUCAAUUUUUGAAAAAUCAUCCAUUCAUUUGACCAAUUUACCCUUUUUAGGGUCACCUGGUCGAUUUUGAAUAAAUCGUCAAUUCAUUUGACCAAUUUACCCUUUUUAGGGUCAUCCGGUCAAUUUUUGAAAAAUCAUCCAUUCAUUUGACCAAUUUACCCUUUUUAGGGUCACCUGGUCGAUUUUGAAUAAAUCGUCAAUUCAUUUGACCAAGUUACCCUUUUUAGGGUCAUCUGGUCGAUUUUUGAAUAAAUCUUCAUUUCGUUUCAUUUGGCCAAUUCACCCAUUUUUAGGGCAAUCUAGUCGAUUUUCUGAAUAAAUCACCAAUUUUUCCAUUCUUAGGGCGAUCUUAUCGAUUUCGAGUAAAUCAUUAAUUUCGUCCGAUUCAUUUGACCAGUUUACCCUUUUAGGGCGAUCCGGUCAAUUUUGAAUAAAUUCUCGAUUUCAUUUGACCAAAUCCCUUUUUUGGAAUGAUUCGGUCAAUUUUGAGUAAGUUUUUAAAUUUCACUCAAUUCAUUUGACCCGAUUCACUUUUUAGGGUAAUGCGGUCGAUUUUAAAUAAAAUUGUCAAUUUCGUUCAACCCAUUUGACCGAGUAGGGUUUCAAUGACGAAUUUCAAUUUGGAAACCUAGUCGGUUUUGAGAAAACUAUUCAUUGCAUCCAGACAUUUGAUCAGUUGGAAUUUUGAUCCGUAAAUUCACUGAGAAAUUUUAUCAACGAAUUCCAAACUCUUCGAUAGGAAGUUCGUCAAGGUCAAACCCGUGCAUUUUUGCAAAAUCUUGUAUUGAUCAAAAGUGAUCAAUCCAUUCGGACGUGGACCUCAUUUUGCAAAAAAUUACUUUCACUCAAUGAGUUGAUCAGAUCCAUCAGGUAUGGUAUGGUGCCUACCCUAGAGGAUUGCAUUUUCAUGCUAGGCCUACCCUUGGCACAAAAAGGGUUCCCCCAUAGGACAUGCAUCCGAAUUUCCUGAAAAUCUACUAACUCUUGCCUUUUUCUCUUUCUUUUCUUUAUUUUUUAUUGGAAUAACUAAGCAAGAGUUAAAUCUAAAGGCAAUCUUUUCAAAAAUUCUCAGGUAAUAUUUAAACAUAGCUUCUCGUCGAAGCCCCAUCAUAACACGAUCCCGUAGUCAAGUUCAGAGGAGUCGUGUAAACAUGAGUCCGCAACUGGAACCAUCAGACAGGUUUGUUACUACCGCCCAGCCUGAGACCACAAGUUUGGGGGUUCAGUUGACUGAGAUGCUCACUAAGUUCGGUGAGAUGACCACUGAGAUGGCGGCCCAGAGGAAAUUAAUCGAUGAGCUUAUCAGCAGUGGAGUUCAACCCGAGCCCGUGCCCGGCAGGCAGCCUGGGCCAGAGCCAUUUGUCAUACCUUCAAUUCAAGCCACUGUUGCUCCAUUUUUCCCUAUUCCAACCGAAGGGGCUUUCACAUACCCCACUAUACAUUUGCCAUACACUUACCCUCCUGAUCCUUCAUUUUUCCCUACUUGCAUGCAAGGCCCACAACCCCAAAUCACUUCAAACAUACCACCAGAGCCACAUACUUUUUAUCACACUGCUGUUGAGCCAUUCCUACCAGACCAUACUGCUCAAACCAAGCCAGAAAUGGGGGAAUCUUCCGCUCCCGUUGAUAUAAAGCUGCUCAAACGCCUUGACCGUUUUGAUGAAUUUAUAAGGAAAAGUCAGGGUUUAAACAAGCAAGGAGUGCUGGACUAUGACGAGCUUUGUCUCUUUCCAAAUGUACAAUUGCCUGAAGGAUUCAAAACUCCGAAGUUUAACAAGUAUGAUGGGACGGGCAAUCCCAAGACGCACCUCCGAUUGUUCGCCAACAAGUUGGGUAGGCCAACAGAUGAUGAAAAUCUGCCUUUGAGGCUAUUCCCAGAAAGUCUCGAGGGGGAUGCACUCGACUGGUAUUCCAAGCUGAAACCCGAAGAAGCGAAGACCUGGCUUGACUUGUCCAACGCUUUUGUAAGGCAGUACGAGUAUAAUUGCGAGCUGGCUCCAACACGAACCACGUUGGAAGGGACAAAGAGGAAACCCUCCGAGGAUCACAAGACUUAUGCUAAGAGGUGGAGGAAAGUAGCUGCAAAAGUCGAGCCACCAAUGACGGAGGACGAAAUCAUACGAACUUUCAUUAAGGCACAUGAUCCGCCGUACUUUGAAGAAAUUUUCCGCAUGACUGGAUGCUCAUUUGCCGCAAUUGUUAAUAAACUUGAGGAAUUUGAUGAUUUCGUGAAGGCUGGAAAGAUUGUUAAUGUGUCUGCCCUCAAAUCGCAGUUGGAUGCCUUGCAAAGCCAAGGUAGUAAUGGGAAGAAGCAACAAUCCAAAAGGCAAGAGGGGGAAACUGCUUUUGUCUGGAAUCGAAGCCCUGUUCCAAGACCCAGACCUCGACAAUACCCUACCUACUCAAACCCUUACUAUUCAAGCCCUCAUCCUGUUUAUCACACCAAUACCAUUCAUCCUCGACCUCGGCCUAACUACAACAACUCUCCUAUGGCCCCUUUUCAAAUAUCUCAACCUAACUUCCAACAAGUUCGACCCCGACCUCCCUACAAUCAACAAUUUCCUCCACCAAAUAGGCCCACCUAUAAUUACCCCCGACCCAUUGAACCCCAAAAACAAAACCAUUAUCGUACCUUUACCAAUCUUGGCAUGCCCUUGGACCAAUUGUACGAACAAUUAAAAGCCGCCGGUAAAAUCAGCGUAAUUCCCCCUCCAGCUCACCCUCAUGGCGUCCCUGCCGACUACGAUCCGCAGUACACUUGUGCCUAUCAUUCGGGAGCACCCGGCCACCCAACUACUGACUGUAGAGCACUUAAGCACAGAGUCCAAGACAUGAUCGAGGCAGGUGAAAUAGUGCUAAAAAAGAAAGGUGGACAAGGACCGAGCAUAAAUACAAAUCCUUUUCCUGAACACAAGGACACCUUUGAGGCAUCCACUUCCAAUGAAGACAUUUGAAAGUCUUGAAGAAACCUUGCACAAUUGGAUUGCCAAGUAUCUUCUCUCGCAAAGGGAAUUUGGGAUGAAUCCAGGGAUUGUUAUUUAUUAAACUUCAUGAAACUCGUCACCGUUUGCUUUUGAGUAAAUAGUUUUAUCAUGUUUAAUUAAGUUUUGACUAAAGCAUUUUUGCAUUAUCAAGCUCCUAUGUUGUUUUCUUUCGAUAGCAUGCAUGGUCACAUCUUUUCAUUAUUUUGUUAAUACCAUUUUGUUUAUAUUGAUUGUUUAUUGGUUCAAUUUCAUUCUAAAUUCUUUCGAUGGCCAAAAUAAAAUUAUUUGACCCUUUGAAUAUCACUGUUCUGGAAUCCGAUGAAGCCUUCAUUGAAAAAUCCCUUCAUUGAGAAAUCCUUUCUUUGAGACCAUACAUUGAAAAAACCCUUCUUUGAGAAAGCUUUCAUUGAGAAAACCCUUCAUGGAGAAAUCCCUGCUUUGAAAAGGCCUUCAUUAAGAGAUCCCUUCUUUGAAAAAGCCUUCAUUUCCCUUCAUUGAAAAAUCCUUUCAUUUGGAAAUUCCUUCAUUGAUAAAUCCCUUCAUUUGAGAAAAUUCCUUUCCAGCCAGGUUAAAAGUUGAUUGGUCAAAGCAGUAUCAUUAACGAUUGAUUCUGAUUGAUAAUGCUAUGUGCCAUGACCAACGUUGUCAAAACGCAUGGCCUAUAUUCAUAACAAAAGGAUCCGCCACCGAUCUUCUGAAGAAGGAAACAAAGUGCUAAAGUGAUGAAAGAUGAAGUCAAAGGCAAAUUUGCCUCAAAUCGGCAAAGCUUAUUGGGUGUUCAAAGGAGAGAUGGAAGGACAGACAUUCCCUCAACCUAUCAAUUCGGACAUGUGUAAGAUGUUUUU
Molecule: long non-coding RNA, 14688 nt
Filed under: Coffea arabica (coffee)
Lineage: Eukaryota; Viridiplantae; Streptophyta; Magnoliopsida; Gentianales; Rubiaceae
Description: long non-coding RNA (CARA_LNC008029)
Source: RNAcentral